GUGUCGGAAGUGCAAUUGCUUAGCAUGCGCUCCCGGUAAGGGUGAAUUGCGAGUUCGAUUCCCGCCCGACGUU
Parelaphostrongylus tenuis is the source of this 73-nucleotide non-coding RNA. NCBI's taxonomy places the organism in Eukaryota, Metazoa, Nematoda, Chromadorea, Rhabditida, Metastrongylidae. The record is from the annotation of a GenBank genome assembly.